AAUCGGAGAGGACUCGGGAAACCAAAUCGACAUAUUUCGUGGAGUCCGUAUUUGUCUUGGAAAGGGAAAGAAUGGGAACCGGUUCCCUCUGAGUACACUGAGAAUCUUGAGGUUCCUAAAACAGAGAUUGAUAUAAUUUAAUUCCCCCCGAAUUUUCAUAAAGCGGUUUACAUUCAUAGACCGGUCUGCAAACCGGUUUUGGCAGAUCUGGAACCGGUUUAGAACCAGUUGGGGAUACAGUAGAGGAGGGUUCCAAAAUCCAAACUCCAUCAGCCAUGAGUUUCUUGGGUACACGUGGCUCUAAGUGAGUUUG
This 313-nucleotide long non-coding RNA is filed under the name Phoenix dactylifera (date palm). Its description in RNAcentral is "long non-coding RNA (PDAC_LNC000947)". The record is from RNAcentral. Lineage: Eukaryota; Viridiplantae; Streptophyta; Magnoliopsida; Arecales; Arecaceae.